This 301-nucleotide ribosomal RNA is filed under the name uncultured bacterium. Its description in RNAcentral is "partial 16S ribosomal RNA". It matches the Rfam family "Bacterial small subunit ribosomal RNA", at positions 509 to 807 of the family's 1533-position model. The record is from RNAcentral.
CAGUCGCCGCGGUAAAACGAACCGUGCGAACGUUAUUCGGAAUUACUGGGCUUAAAGCGCGUGUAGGCGGCUCGGCACGUCGGACGUUGAAAGCCCCCGGCUCAACCGGGGAAGUGGCGCCGAUACGGCCGAGCUGGAGGGAGGUAGGGGGGUCUGGAACUUCCGGUGGAGCGGUGAAAUGCGUUGAGAUCGGAAGGAACGCCCGUGGCGAAAGCGAGGCCCUGGACCUUUUCUGACGCUGAGACGCGAAAGCCAGGGGAGCGAACGGGAUUAGAUACCCGGGUAGUCCCUGUCUCUUAUA